GGUAAUCUUAUUAGGCCGCUAUAAUGAUUAUAAACUAUGUUGUAUUCUUGUAUAUAUAUAACAUUUUGAUUUAUUCCGACAAAUAUAUUUAAGUGCUUAUAAACAAUAUAAACAAUAGCCUAUAGCUGUGUAUCAACAUUUUAUUAUUAAAAGUUCUAAUAAUGGGUGACUAUCCGUACAUCGUCUUGAUAACGGCCACCGCAUGUAUUAAUACAUAUACCUAUUCAGCUGUUAUUUAGAUAGAUGUGAAAAGAGACAGAGAGAGAGAGAUAAAGAAAAUACUAAAAAUAAUCAACAACAAUUCAUCACGUGCAUAGACCUAGCCACUUCGAUCAUGAUUAACCUCGCUGAAUAUUAAUGUAUUUUUUUUUUGUUCGACAGCAACACAGGGUUGGACCUUAACAAUGGAUCGUUAUUCUGAAUACCAAAGUAUUAUAAUAUGUAUAAUGAAUAUAUAGGUACUAUAUAGUGUAUACAUGUAUUUAAUAAUAUCUUGCGGCUCAAAGGAUUCACCUAAUACGCGUUUUUAAUCAGAUGAAUUAUCAUAUAAUAUUUUUACAUGAAAUUAAACGUUCGUAUUGUCCACCGGGAAGAAGAUUGAUGUAUCAUGCGAUAGCGCACGUGAUGUUGACUUGAACUUGGCAGGAUUCUAAUAAAAACAAGACCAAUUCGGUUGGAAAUAUACAAUAUAAUACUUAUAUAUUACCAAGAAGAUUCGUAAAUGUAUUUGACACGUGCAUUCAAUGACAAUAUAAGUACCUGCCAAUAUCAUACUAUGUACGUAAAUUAUAAAAUGAUAGUAUAUUGCGUUUCGAAUUCGACAAAUAGCGGACGUUGUAUUUUGAAUUUUGUGAAAUUUCUAUUGUUGCUUCUGCUGAACGAUGAGACGAAUAAUCAUUCCGACGCGGAAUCGUGUUUGGAAUGCCUGGUGUUGGAAAAAAAAGGAAAACGAUAGUAAUAAAUAAUAAUAAUACGAUAGCACAAUAUAUCCACCCAAGUCGCACGCAUCCCAAAACAGCGAUUUAUUUGAGCCUACAACGUGCGAAGAAUCUCUGCUGAUUUUUGUGUUUUUUAGCUGUAUGUUUAUAUGAUAAUAUUUAUUAAUUUAUGAUAUUCGUUGAUCGUGAUUGAAACUGUAUAUAAAUGACAAAUUAAUAAUUAUAUGGUUUUGUCAUUUGCUAAGUCUCACGCUCAAUACUACCCAUACAAUUAAUGUAGCUUCAUAAUUAUUUGUAUACAUGCAGACACAGAAUAAAGGAGCACAGAAUGUUACACUAUUUGGUGCUUAUUUGUUUAGGUGAUGGAGAAUUUGCGUUUUCCUAGUAUCUUUGCAUGCGCUCAGUUCAAUCAUCUGUUCGUGCAAAUUGCAAAACUCCGUUGACUGCAUCGGCACGGCACUUUCCAGUGUCAUUAUUAGGCAAUAACCAUUUAACAGUACUUAACAAUAUUUCCGACAUUUUAAAUAAUCAAAAAUAAUGGCAGAGAAUAUAAAAUGAAUAUAGACCUUUUAAGAUGCUCCAGAUCUUCGGCUAUGGAAUCGUAUAAUACUACAAGGUCAUAAUAUAGUGUAUAAAGAUUCAUUUAAUUUGCAAAACGGAUUGUACAAGUAAUCGAUGUAGGUACCUACUUAUAAAAAAAUAAUGCAUUACGUAAUUCAAAGUUGCAUACACAUCUAGUUAUAACAAUAAACAAGAUUAAUUUGAUUUGUGUGUUCAUCUAGUCAAUGUUGUAAAUACGUAUAUAUAUUAUAUAUAUUGACAAGUAUAUUUGAUUUAUACUUCAUUGAAUACAUUAUAUCUGAUAAAGUCUCAGCAUUGACAUUGGCGCUAAUGUUAUUGUCUUGGCACCUACCCGUUAUUACCAAAAAAUUACAUCACUGACGUUAAGUGGUUAAGUAGUAAAAAAUGAACACACAUACACAGUUUUACUUUACACACAUGUACACAAUAAUUAUUCUCAUAUAUAAUUUAUUAUAACCAUAUAUUAUAUUGCA
Molecule: long non-coding RNA, 1993 nt
Organism: Aphis gossypii (cotton aphid)
Lineage: Eukaryota; Metazoa; Arthropoda; Insecta; Hemiptera; Aphididae
Exons: 4
Source: RefSeq, a predicted model, not a curated record